Molecule: ribosomal RNA, 251 nt
Filed under: uncultured prokaryote
Description: partial 16S rRNA
Rfam family: Bacterial small subunit ribosomal RNA
Source: RNAcentral
ACGUAGGGUGCAAACGUUGUCCGGAAUUACUGGGUGUAAAGGGUGCACAGGCGGUUUUGUGCGUCAGAGGUGAAAUCCCACGGCUCAACUGUGGAAGUGCAUUUGAUACUGUGAGACUUGAGUAUAAGAGAGGAUGAUAGAAUUCCUGGUGUAGCGGUGAAAUGCGUAGAUAUCAGGAGGAAUACCAGUGGCGAAGGCGGUCAUCUGGCUUGUAACUGACGCUUAAGCACGAAAGCAUGGGUAGCGAACAG